Molecule: ribosomal RNA, 309 nt
Filed under: uncultured bacterium
Lineage: Bacteria
Description: bacterial SSU rRNA
Rfam family: Bacterial small subunit ribosomal RNA
Source: RNAcentral
GGCGUAACUACCGUGCCAGCAGCCGCGGUAAUACGGAGGGUGCGAGCGUUAAUACGGAAGUUACUGGGCGUAAAGACGCAUGCAGGUGGUUUGUUUAAGUUACAGAUGUGAAAGACCCGGGGCGUCAACCUCGGAAUAGCAUUUGAAACUGGCAGACUAGAGUACUGUAGAGGGGGGUAGAAUUUCAGGUGUAGCGGUGAAAUGCGUAGAGAUCUGAAGGAAUACCGGUGGCGAAGGCGGCCCCCUGGACAGAUACUGACACUCAGAUGCGAAAGCGUGGGGAGCAAACAGGAUUAGAUACCCUGGUAG